This is a non-coding RNA of Actinomyces sp. oral taxon 175, 110 nucleotides long. Lineage: Bacteria; Bacillati; Actinomycetota; Actinomycetes; Actinomycetales; Actinomycetaceae. The record is from Rfam.
GUCACCGCUGAACGGUGGCGACCGUGAGGUACUGGGGAGUACCACUGACCGGCCACCACUGAGUCUGGGCCACAGCCAAGGGAAUGUGCUCGGGCGUUUCGGUGAAGGAG